AUGGGGAACAUACUGACCUGUUGUGUGUGCCCCAGGGACAGCCACGAGUUUGACCAGCAACAGGGGUCAGUGUACCCCUCUGAGUCCGAGAUCCAUGAGGCAGGAUCUGGGGACAGGAUGGCAGGAGCGCCCAUGGCUGCUGCUGUACAGCCUGCUGAGAUGACUGUUGAAGUUGGUGAAGACCUCCACAUGCACCACAUCCAUGACCGGGAGAUGCCUGAAGCUUUGGAGUUUAACCCUUCUGCCAAUCCAGAGGCAAACACAAUAUUCCACGGGAACUGUCAAACAGAUGAAGAAAGUUGGAGUUUUGGCUGGGCAUGGUGGCUCACGUCUGUAAUCCCAGCACUUUGGGAGGCUGAAGUGAGCAGAUCAUCUGAGGUCAGGAGUUCAAGACCAGCCUGGCCAACAGGUGAAAACCCAUCUCUACUAAAAAAAAAUACAAAAUUAGCUGGACGUGGUGGCGCAUGCUUGUAGUUCUAGCUAUUCACGAGGCUGAGGCAGGAGAAUUGCUUGAACCCAGGAGGCGGAGGUUGCAGUGAGCAGAGAUUGCGCCAAUGCACUCAACCUGGGUGACAGAGUGAGACCCCAUCUCACCAAAAAAAAAAAAAAAAAAAAAGUUAGAGUUUUUCAGUCUCUACACUGCUGGGAGAGGCGGGGGAUGGGAGGCGGUAGAAAAUAGAAAACAGUUGAUUUGCCUCCAAAAUUUUGCAAAGAGAUGAAUCUAAGUAAAAGUUAUUCUGGGUAAUAAUAUAGUUCUUGAAUAAAAACUAAAAUUUUCAAAAUAGAAAACGUUGCAUCAUAAAGAUAUUAAAUCCAGUUGGCUUAUUGGUUUCAUUUAAAUGCCAGAGAUUCGUUACUGUAGAGGAAAUGUCUUAUAGUUCUUCUAUCUAAACUUUGGUUGGGCUCUUAAUUUUUUAAGAAGUAGAAUAAUUAAGACUCUUGAUGAGUGUGACUUUGUAACUUGGAAGUACUAUCCUCACUUUUCAAGAUAUUUAAGGAUUGCUUUAGAACAAACAAAUAUAUGAAUUAAUUGAUUAUACCUUUAUACACAAAACAUGUAAGUACUUGUGUAAACGUAUAGUCUGCUUGGUGAUGUAAGGAAAGGCUGAUUGGUGUUACACACCAGUUAGUAGA
RNAcentral lists this long non-coding RNA (1134 nucleotides) under Rhinopithecus bieti (black snub-nosed monkey). Its description in RNAcentral is "lncRNA (ENSRBIG00000045515.1)". The record is from RNAcentral. Lineage: Eukaryota; Metazoa; Chordata; Mammalia; Primates; Cercopithecidae.